Molecule: ribosomal RNA, 209 nt
Filed under: uncultured Edaphobacter sp.
Lineage: Bacteria; Pseudomonadati; Acidobacteriota; Terriglobia; Terriglobales; Acidobacteriaceae
Description: partial 16S ribosomal RNA
Rfam family: Bacterial small subunit ribosomal RNA
Source: RNAcentral
UCCGAGUGGGGAAUAACCUAUAGAAAUCUGGGCUAAUACCGCAUAACACUCAUGAGUCAAAGCAGCAUUGCGCUUGGAGAGGAGUUCGCGGCAGAUUAGUUAUUUGGCGGGGUAAUGGCCCACCAAGACGAUGAUCUGUAUCCGGCCUGAGAGGGCGCACGGACACACUGGAACUGAAACACGGUCCAGACUCCUACGGAGGCAGAGUG